Molecule: microRNA precursor, 70 nt
Organism: Myotis lucifugus (little brown bat)
Lineage: Eukaryota; Metazoa; Chordata; Mammalia; Chiroptera; Vespertilionidae
Rfam family: mir-9242 microRNA precursor family
Source: Rfam
GGCCUCCUUCUGCAGGGUGAUCGAUCGUGGAGCCCCUGCCCCCCCAUUGAUUGCCCUGCAGAGGGUGGCC